ACAAAGUCAUUCGUUCACUCGAACUGUCGAGUCAGAGUUGUUCGCAGUGGAAGUGGUAGGAACCAGACGACUACACGGCCCUCCAAACGGAGGUUUUUCAGCCUCCAAACAGAGAAAAACUGGCGAGAUGGCUGAACAAGAGACCCAAGAAACCCGCAAAUGUUCAGACACGUAUCCCAUCUCGUUCUCCGGGGAUGCAGAAAGAGGUCAUCAUUCAGAGUUAAUCACGAUUCAACCUCAGAGAUCGUUGGACGGAACGCCGACAUUCAAUAUUGCUUUUGACUGCAUCUGGACAAACUGGAAGACGAAACGUGAAAUAUCCAGGUUGUGAUUUGAAAUCGAUGGUACGCAUUGAGGUUUUUUGGUCUCUGCAGUUGGUGAAAUCAAGAUGUUUCCGAAAUAUACCGAACUGGAUGGAGUGCCCGGAGAAAUGCUGUAUUGCUUUACAUA
Long non-coding RNA from Pygocentrus nattereri (red-bellied piranha), 450 nucleotides. RefSeq lists it as uncharacterized. The record is from RefSeq and is a predicted model, not a curated record. The transcript is spliced from 3 exons. NCBI's taxonomy places the organism in Eukaryota, Metazoa, Chordata, Actinopteri, Characiformes, Serrasalmidae.